GAUGAACGCUGGCGGCGUGCCUAAUACAUGCAAGUCGAGCGAACGGACGAGAAGCUUGCUUCUCUGAUGUUAGCGGCGGACGGGUAAGUAACACGUGGAUAACCUACCUAUAAGACUGGGAUAACUUCGGGAAACCGGAGCUAAUACCGGAUAAUAUUUUGAACCGCAUGGUUCAAAAGUGAAAGACGGUCUUGCUGUCACUUAUAGAUGGAUCCGCGCUGCAUUAGCUAGUUGGUAAGGUAACGGCUUACCAAGGCAACGAUGCAUAGCCGACCUGAGAGGGUGAUCGGCCACACUGGAACUGAGACACGGUCCAGACUCCUACGGGAGGCAGCAGUAGGGAAUCUUCCGCAAUGGGCGAAAGCCUGACGGAGCAACGCCGCGUGAGUGAUGAAGGUCUUCGGAUCGUAAAACUCUGUUAUUAGGGAAGAACAUAUGUGUAAGUAACUGUGCACAUCUUGACGGUACCUAAUCAGGAAGCCACGGCUAACUACGUG
RNAcentral lists this ribosomal RNA (497 nucleotides) under uncultured bacterium. RNAcentral describes it as "partial 16S ribosomal RNA". It matches the Rfam family "Bacterial small subunit ribosomal RNA", at positions 28 to 507 of the family's 1533-position model. The record is from RNAcentral.